AUUCCGGUUGAUCCUGCCGGAGGCCAUUGCUAUCGGAGUCCGAUUUAGCCAUGCUAGUCGCACGAGUUUAGACUCGUGGCGAAAAGCUCAGUGACACGUGGCCAUAACUACCCUAUGGACGGAACUAACCUCGGGAAACUGAGGCUAAUGUCCGUAUACGGCUCUCACGCUGGAACGCCGUAGAGCCGGAAACGCCCCGGCGCCAUAGGAUGUGGCUGCGGCCGUAUUAGGUUGACGGUGGGGUAACGGCCCACCGUGCCAAUAAUCGGUAUGGGUCAUGAGAGUGAGAACCCAGAGACGGUAUCUGAGACAAGAUACCGGGCCCUACGGGGCGCAGCAGGCGCGAAACCUUUACACUGCACGACAGUGCGAUAAGGGGACUCCGAGUGCGAGGGCAUACAGUCCUCGCUUUUCUGUACCGUAGGGUGGUACAGGAACAAGUGCUGGGCAAGACCGGUGCCAGCCGCCGCGGUAAUACCGGCAGCACGAGUGAUGGCCGAUAUUAUUGGGCCUAAAGCGUCCGUAGCU
RNAcentral lists this ribosomal RNA (528 nucleotides) under uncultured Halorhabdus sp. RNAcentral describes it as "bacterial SSU rRNA". It matches the Rfam family "Archaeal small subunit ribosomal RNA", at positions 1 to 526 of the family's 1478-position model. The record is from RNAcentral. Lineage: Archaea; Methanobacteriati; Methanobacteriota; Halobacteria; Halobacteriales; Haloarculaceae.